This 465-nucleotide long non-coding RNA is filed under the name Malus domestica (apple). RNAcentral describes it as "long non-coding RNA (MDOM_LNC008391)". Lineage: Eukaryota; Viridiplantae; Streptophyta; Magnoliopsida; Rosales; Rosaceae. The record is from RNAcentral.
AGCCAAAGCCUCCCCCAUUCAUCAUGGGCACGUGAGGCUCUUGGCCUUGACCGAAGAUGUUAUUUGUUUUGUAGGUGCAAUUUUGUCCAAGAGCAAGGAGGAAGAAAUUUGCAUCCACAAUGAUGAAUUUCAAUCCACCUCUAUUUUUGUUCUUUGGGAUGAGUAUGUUUGGGUCUUGUAGGACUACGUACUUGCGUAUAUAAUAUUGAAUGUGUUUCUAACUUGUCUUGUGUAGGUUAAUUUGGAUGCAUUUUCUAACUUGUACUCUUUAUGGUCAGAAAUAAACCAAGAGGAUUACUUUGUAUCUAGAAAGUUGAAAGCUUGUUUAAGGUGAGUUUGAUUUCUUCUUAAUUGGCAAGGUGUAUUUUCUUCAUCAUUUUUUUGUUUUAUUUUAUCUAUAUAUGUUGUUUUACAUGAUAGGAAAAUAUGGAUAAAAGUUGGGUACAUUUGGAUCCUUCCACCGAU